This 460-nucleotide ribosomal RNA is filed under the name uncultured bacterium. RNAcentral describes it as "partial 16S ribosomal RNA". It matches the Rfam family "Bacterial small subunit ribosomal RNA", at positions 338 to 795 of the family's 1533-position model. The record is from RNAcentral.
CCUACGGGAGGCAGCAGUGAGGAAUAUUGGUCAAUGGACGAGAGUCUGAACCAGCCAAGUAGCGUGAAGGAUGACUGCCCUAUGGGUUGUAACCUUCUUUUAUAUGGGAAUAAAAUGUUCCACGUGUGGGAUUUUGUAUGUCCCCUAUGAAUAAGGAUCGGCUAACUCCGUGCCAGCAGCCGCGGUAAUACGGAGGAUCCGAGCGUUAUCCGGAUUUAUUGGGUUUAAAGGGAGCGUAGGUGGAUUGGUAAGUCAGUUGUGAAAGUUUGCGGCUCAACCGUAAAAUUGCAAUUGAUACUGGCAGUCUGGAGUACAGUUGAGGUAGGCGGAAUUCGUGGUGUAGCGGUGAAAUGCUUAGAUAUCACGAAGAACCCCGAUUGCGAAGGCAGCUUACUAAACUGUGACUGACAUUGAUGCUCGAAAGUGUGGGUAUCAAACAGGAUUAGAUACCCUAGUAGUC